AACGAACGCUGGCGGCGUGGCUAAGACAUGCAAGUCGUACGGUAGGUUGUAGCAAUAUGGCCUAUAGUGGCGGACGGGUGAGUAAUGAAUAGGUAACGUACCCCGGGCGACAGGAAUAGCGUCGGGUCCCGCAAGGGAUCCUUUGCGAAAGUGACGGUAAUACCUGGUGACGUCCUUGAGUGGCAUCAUUCGAGGACCAUACGGUGGGGACCGUUCGGUCCGUACUCGGCCGUCGGGAGGCGGCCCGUACUUUU
Molecule: ribosomal RNA, 254 nt
Filed under: uncultured bacterium
Lineage: Bacteria
Description: partial 16S ribosomal RNA
Rfam family: Bacterial small subunit ribosomal RNA
Source: RNAcentral